AGUGAACGCUGGCGGUAGGCCUAACACAUGCAAGUCGAACGGCAGCACAGUAAGAGCUUGCUCUUACGGGUGGCGAGUGGCGGACGGGUGAGGAAUACAUCGGAAUCUACUUUUUCGUGGGGGAUAACGUAGGGAAACUUACGCUAAUACCGCAUACGACCUACGGGUGAAAGUAGGGGAUCUUCGGACCUUGCGCGAUUGAAUGAGCCGAUGUCGGAUUAGCUAGUUGGCGGGGUAAAGGCCCACCAAGGCGACGAUCCGUAGCUGGUCUGAGAGGAUGAUCAGCCACACUGGAACUGAGACACGGUCCAGACUCCUACGGGAGGCAGCAGUGGGGAAUAUUGGACAAUGGGCGCAAGCCUGAUCCAGCCAUGCCGCGUGGGUGAAGAAGGCCUUCGGGUUGUAAAGCCCUUUUGUUGGGAAAGAAAAGCAGCAGGUUAAUACCCCGCUGUUCUGACGGUACCCAAAGAAUAAGCACCGGCUAACUUCGUG
Molecule: ribosomal RNA, 492 nt
Filed under: uncultured bacterium
Lineage: Bacteria
Description: partial 16S ribosomal RNA
Rfam family: Bacterial small subunit ribosomal RNA
Source: RNAcentral